This 2584-nucleotide unclassified non-coding RNA is filed under the name Monomorium pharaonis (pharaoh ant). Its description in RNAcentral is "kelch domain-containing protein 4, transcript variant X3". The record is from RNAcentral. Lineage: Eukaryota; Metazoa; Arthropoda; Insecta; Hymenoptera; Formicidae.
UUAAGAUGCCAUCAAUUAAUUACAGAAUCGUAUUAACAUCUUAAGACAUUGUUUGAGAAAUCUUGAAAUAAGAUUUGACGAAUACCGGCCAUAGGCACUCGUAUAGCGACAUUCAACCGACAUACGACAUUCUUGUAACUUGCGACACGGCUUGUGCGAUUAUUGUAGAUGAGACUUUAUAAUUCUUUUUGGCUGUAUUGUUCCUAGUUCCUAUCAGUUUCUGUCAGUUUUCUAUGGGAAAAGCGGGUGUUAUAUUGUAAAGAAAAAUUCAAGUUUGCAUUUACGAAAUGGGGAAGAAAGACAAAAAAAAUACUAAUAAAAUAAGUGGUCAGAUGAAAACUGCAUUAAAAACGGAAAAAAAGCUCAAUGCCAAGCAGAAAAAGGAAUUAGCAGCGCUUGGUGAGGACGACAUAGAGAAAGUUGUUGCCGAAAUUGAAAGAGAAGAGGCUCGCAGGCAAUGCAUAAAAGAAGUAGUGAUAGAUGCGCCGCUUAGACGAGUUAAUUUUACCUUGACGGCGCAUCCUUUCAAAGAUGAAAUUAUAAUGUUUGGUGGGGAGUUUCACGAUGGUCGACAGACGAUUGUGUACGGCGACAUGUUUUUUUAUAACAUCAACAAGCGAGAAUGGACGUUGGUAAAAGCGCCAGGAGCACCGCCGCCACGAUGUGGCCAUCAAGCAGUAGCCACAACGAAUUGCAGUGGUGAAUUGUGGGUGUUUGGUGGCGAAUUUACUAGCCCUAGCGAAUCGCAAUUUUAUCACUAUCGAGACUUGUGGGUAUUUCGAUUCAUCGACAAGAAGUGGGAAAAAAUCACAACUCCGAACGGACCAUCAGCCAGAAGUGGACACAGAAUGGUGCACAUGAAAAAACAGCUAAUAGUGUUCGGCGGAUUCAACGACAAUCUGCGACUCGACUAUAAAUAUUAUAAUGAUGUUUACAUUUUUUACCUGGAGACUUAUACGUGGCAAAAAAUCGAGCCUAUUGGUUCUGCACCUGCUCCUCGAUCAGGUUGUAUAUUACUGCCAACUCCGGACCACAAAGUUCUCAUGUACGGCGGCUAUAGCAAGGAGAAAGUGAAGAAGAAUGUAGAUCGAGGUUGCAUUCAUGAUGACAUGUUUCUUCUAACGCAAAUAAACAAAAACGACAUAAUUAAAUACAAAUGGAUCAAUAUAAAGCAAACUGGAACCCGAAUAAGCCCGAGGUGCGGCAUUUCUGCCACACUAAUUCAGCCUGCCGGUAAUCAGGCCUUCUUGUUUGGCGGCGUUUAUGAUGACGAUGAUAACGAAGAGGAGGAUUUGCAUGGAACAUUUUACAACGAUUUGUUUGCAUUGGACUUGGAGAAAUUGUGCUGGCGUGCUAUAACAUUAACUGGAAAGAAGGAAACGGUUGUUGCCAAUAGAAUUGAGAAACAACGAAGAAGAAAGAAACAAAAAGAAGAAAGUUGCGAGGAAGCAACGGAGCAGAUCAAUGAUUCGGAUAAAGAAACGAUGGAAGAUCUCUCGAAGGCUAUGGAAUCUAGCGUUACUGUUGUCGAUGACGGAAUAUUUACGGUAACCAUAGGUUCGAUGGAGCCAUCUACAUCUUCAUCUCUUCAAUCCAUCUCGACAGCAAUAAAUAGCAAAGAAGCAGUAUUUUGUCCAUUACCGAGAAUAAAUGCUGGAAUGGUGGUGAAACACAAUAUUUUGUAUUUGUACGGUGGCAUGAUGGAAGAAAGUAAUCGACAAUACACUUUUUCCGAUUUUUACAGCUUAGUCACGUGACCAAUGGAAUUAUGCACACUACUAUUAAGAUAUGGUGGAGGGAUGCAUCAUAUAAGAAGAGUUUCAUACAUCAGUCGCGCAUUACGGACAUCCUCACUACAGUCGCUCAUUACCGGACGGACAACAAAGGACAUUGUUUAUUGCUGGAAUCGAUCGGAAAAACGUACGAGAUGAAUUACUACGUUCCAAUUCAAGAAAACGAAGCUCGUGAUAAACCAACAAUAUCGCAGCCGCGCCAUACAUUCCGCAUCCUGAGAAGAUUUCCUCUUACGGCUACAUCCUACAAGUACCUGGAAAUGGGAAUCAGCGUGGGGCCUGAACCUUUUGUGGAAAUACUGCUUGACGACAAGGGUAACCAUAUAAUUUUGCCAUACAUAACAUGGCAAAAAUUUAUCAAGAGACGUGCGGAUGUUGAAGGACUCAUGCGGGCAAUUAUACUAUCUUUAAGACUUUUUAUUUGUGAUUUAGUAAUAGAAAUUGUAAAUAUACACGAUAAAAGUAUCGUAAAAUUAACACUAUGUAAUGUCUGUAUGUACAUAAAACCAUUAACAAUAUUAUUUUUACUUAAUUUUGAACACUGCGUCGAAUCUGUAUAUAUACAAUUAUAUCAAAAUACUCAUAGUGUAAGUGAUAAAUAUAAACAUUUUGUAAGCCUUUUACAUCAAAAUUAUAUUACUAAUAAAUGUGAUGCUCUAAAAUUAUUAUUUAAAAGUUAUGAUAAAACUUGUAUAAUACAUUGCGAACUGAUGACUUAUGCUUAUAAUAAUAUAAUAUCGUAAAUGAUGGUUUGUGUGAUAAAUAAAUAAAUAUGUAUUUUGUAUAAAGUU